Odocoileus virginianus texanus is the source of this 2467-nucleotide non-coding RNA. Lineage: Eukaryota; Metazoa; Chordata; Mammalia; Artiodactyla; Cervidae. The record is from RefSeq and is a predicted model, not a curated record.
GGCUGCCGUCUAUGGGGUCGCACAGAAUCGGACACGACUGAAGCGACUUAGCAGCAGCAGUGUUGAUCCAUAAAGCUUUUCAUUUAAGAAGUUGGAAAAAGUACUAUUGUCUUUGGAUUUGUGGCUUCACCAUAUUUUAGCUACACGACCAAAAGCAAGUUAAUCUCUCUAAACCUCGGUUUCCUUCUAUAAACGAGGUACACUCCCACUUGCCUAGAGGGCAGUGGUUACCAGAAAAGUACAGGACAUCCUCCUAAAUUUCACUUUCAGAAAAACGAGUCAUUAUUUAGUGUAAUCAUGUUUGGAACAAAUUUAUACUAAAGUAACUUUCGUUGUUUAUCUGAAAUUCAAAUUUUACUAGACGUUCUGGGUUUUUGCUAAAUCUGGCAACCUUAUAGCGGGCUUAUUGUGGAAUUAAAAGAGAUAGUCACCCCAAGACGUUCCCCCCACUUUUUGGCAUAAUAAGCGCUCAUUGGGGUCGACGCUGUUUUAAUUCCAGGCCCUCGUUUAUUAUAGUUCCUAUAUUCUUUCACUCAAUUUUUAAAUAAACCAGUUGAAGUUGUGACUCUUCAUUCCUGGCUGUCACCCCUGGAAGGAAGUACCUGGAGUCCAAUUGUUAAGAAAUUCCAAGCAAGCGAUUCCAUUACACAAGGUGCCGCCUUUAAGGGCGCGCAAGACGCGUAAAUAAGACGUCGACGUGCGGAGAGGCAGCCGCGGGGCCUGACGGGAUUGUGGCGGUCCUCUCCCAACUCGGAAGCUGCGGCUGCCUUCGGACUCUCUCAAGAUGGCGACCUCUCUAGGUUCCAACACCUACAACAGGCAGAACUGGGAGGAUGCGGACUUCCCUAUUCUGUGCCAGACGUGUCUUGGAGAAAACCCAUAUAUCCGAAUGACCAAAGAAAAGUAUGGGAAGGAAUGCAAAAUCUGUGCCAGGCCAUUCACAGUGUUUCGCUGGUGCCCUGGGGUCCGCAUGCGUUUCAAGAAGACUGAAGUGUGCCAGACCUGCAGUAAAUUGAAGAAUGUCUGUCAGACCUGCCUCUUAGACCUAGAGUACGGCCUGCCCAUCCAGGUUCGUGAUGCAGGAUUAUCUUUUAAGGAUGACAUGCCAAAGUCCGACGUCAACAAAGAGUACUACACGCAGAAUAUGGAGAGAGAGAUUUCCAACUCUGAUGGAACGCGGCCAGUUGGCAUGUUGGGGAAAGCCACAUCCACCAGUGACAUGCUGCUCAAACUGGCCCGGACCACACCCUACUACAAAAGGAAUCGACCGCACAUUUGCUCCUUCUGGGUGAAAGGAGAGUGUAAGAGAGGAGAGGAGUGUCCAUACAGACAUGAAAAACCAACAGAUCCGGAUGACCCCCUUGCUGAUCAGAACAUUAAAGACCGAUAUUAUGGAAUCAAUGACCCUGUGGCAGAUAAACUCUUGAAGCGGGCUUCAACAAUGCCACGUCUGGACCCACCAGAGGACAAGACUAUCACCACACUGUAUGUUGGUGGUCUGGGCGAUACCAUUACUGAGACCGAUCUAAGGAAUCACUUCUACCAGUUUGGAGAGAUCCGGACCAUCACUGUUGUGCAAAGACAGCAGUGUGCUUUCAUCCAGUUUGCCACAAGGCAGGCUGCAGAAGUGGCUGCCGAGAAGUCCUUUAAUAAGUUGAUUGUCAAUGGCCGCAGGCUCAACGUGAAAUGGGGAAGGUCCCAGGCAGCCAGAGGGAAAGAAAAGGAGAAGGACGGAACCACAGACUCUGGAAUCAAGCUCGAGCCCGUUCCAGGGCUCCCAGGAGCUCUUCCUCCUCCUCCUGCCGCGGAAGAAGAAGCCUCUGCCAACUACUUCAACCUACCCCCCAGUGGUCCUCCGGCCGUGGUGAACAUUGCCCUGCCACCCCCACCUGGUAUUGCCCCGCCCCCACCCCCAGGUUUUGGGCCACACAUGUUCCACCCCAUGGGACCACCCCCUCCGUUCAUGAGGGCUCCAGGACCAAUCCACUAUCCUUCUCAGGACCCUCAGAGGAUGGGAGCACAUGCCGGGAAACACAGCAGCCCCUAGCACUCAUCACCGCUCUGGGGCUGUACGGAAGAGAGGGCGCUUAAAAAUCCUAGACACAUAGCCAGGGGUUCACUUGGUGAAAAGUAAACUUUGCCAUUCCCAGACCUCGGCUGUAGAAACAUCUCACCCACUCAGAGCUAUGAACUCUUUCCCAUCUGCUGGCUGAAUGAUCUCUGGAAGAUGGCAGUCACAAAAUGGAAGGAGGCUGGGUUCCUCUAUCGCUGCUAAAAGGAGAGCAUUAUGAUAAGAGGAAUUUUUGUUACAGUAAGCCAUUGAGUCCUGAGGAUCUAUCUGUAACAGCAGCUAGUGUUAUUCUCAUAAAAGAUGUCAGAUCUGAUGACAGAAAAAUAAAGAAGAAACUCCUUUUUUAUUUACACUGAGUAAUGGAGAUUUUUACUUUUUUAAAAAUUGAAGUAUAGU